Phyllostomus discolor (pale spear-nosed bat) is the source of this 102-nucleotide small nuclear RNA. The record is from RefSeq and is a predicted model, not a curated record. NCBI's taxonomy places the organism in Eukaryota, Metazoa, Chordata, Mammalia, Chiroptera, Phyllostomidae.
GGGGGGUCCCCAUCACAUACUAAAACUGAAAUAAAACAAGGAGGAUCAGGAUGGCCACCACACAAGGAUGACACACAAGUUAGUGAAAUAUUCCAUAUUUUC